Long non-coding RNA from Lycium ferocissimum, 374 nucleotides. RefSeq lists it as uncharacterized. Lineage: Eukaryota; Viridiplantae; Streptophyta; Magnoliopsida; Solanales; Solanaceae. The transcript is spliced from 2 exons. The record is from RefSeq and is a predicted model, not a curated record.
CUAAUUAGCUUUAAGGUUUUACAAAUUUAUUUAUAUUGCUAUCAAUUUGUUGAUUUAUUACAAAUUACAACUUUUUUAUUAUAUACAGAAAUUGUCUUUCGCGAUGGAAGCUACAACUUCUGGAACUAAAUCGCUAGUGGUUGACAACAAUCCUCCGAUUAUGCCAACAGAAUCUCAACAACAACAAGAGUAUCGAGACUCACCUUUGAGCAUUGAUUAGCCAGUUUCGUUCACGAUGCACUAUCUGUGUGAGAAUUGGUAUGUUAAUUGAUUACACUAUUCUUUUACAAAAGUUACAGGCUUCUUCUACAAAAAGUUGUUUUGUACAGCUCAUUUUCUUUGAUAGUUAUGAAUUGGCUGGCACUUAUUCUCCU